CUCAGGUUUACUGUCAGGUUCGCCCUUAUCCUAGUUUAGUUGUGUUUCACUUUGUCCUAAAAAUCCAAAAAAAUAGCCCUACAAAAAUACUUGUAUUCAUCUUUGUUUUCCCCAAGUCCUAUCACCCGUUGUGGCCGUGCAAUAAUUUUAUUUCAGUUUGCUUUAUUGAACGGUCGUCCUUCGUUAUGUCAUUGUGUUCGUUGGUUUAGAUAAGUCUAGGUCUGGUUUGUUGACGUCCAUUCAGUUUGAUCACAUCUUUAGUUUUAUUUUUUUUUUACGGCUGUAGGUUUGGGCUCAGUUUCUUUUGCCGUGGGUUACAAAUCAGUUAGUUGCGUAUCAGGUACUUUAUACAUUGCGGAAUAUUCUGUACAAAGAAAAAGAAAGAGCCACACAAAAAAAAGUAAAAGGCAACGAGCUGCAUAAAAAAAAAGAGAGAGUAAAAGCCGCAGCAAAAAAAAAGUGAAAAGAAUUUCAGAAGUGCUUGCAUCCUUUGAGUCUCCACGCCGAGUUGUAUUGUUGCUUGCUUGAACUAGGUCC
Molecule: long non-coding RNA, 537 nt
Filed under: Sorghum bicolor (sorghum)
Lineage: Eukaryota; Viridiplantae; Streptophyta; Magnoliopsida; Poales; Poaceae
Description: long non-coding RNA (SBIC_LNC004598)
Source: RNAcentral